AUACAGAGGGUGCAAGCGUUAAUCGGAAUUACUGGGCGUAAAGCGCGCGUAGGCGGUUUAAUCAGUCGGAUGUGAAAGCCCCGGGCUCAACCUGGGAACUGCAUUCGAUACUGUUAAGCUAGAGUAUGGUAGAGGGAAGUGGAAUUCCAGGUGUAGCGGUGAAAUGCGUAGAUAUCAGGAGGAACAUCAGUGGCGAAGGCGACUUCCUGGACCAAUACUGACGCUGAGGUGCGAAAGCGUGGGGAGCAAACAGGAUUAGAAACCCGAGUAGUCC
This 274-nucleotide ribosomal RNA is filed under the name uncultured bacterium. RNAcentral describes it as "partial 16S ribosomal RNA". It matches the Rfam family "Bacterial small subunit ribosomal RNA", at positions 523 to 796 of the family's 1533-position model. The record is from RNAcentral.